Molecule: non-coding RNA, 235 nt
Organism: Pelobates cultripes (western spadefoot toad)
Lineage: Eukaryota; Metazoa; Chordata; Amphibia; Anura; Pelobatidae
Source: the annotation of a GenBank genome assembly
GAAGGACACUGGCAGGAAAUUCAGAGAGAGAGAAAGAGAGAGAGAGAGGAAAGUCGCACUUCUGCUUCAUUAAGAAUAUGCUUUCUGCCAAGUAAAGAACUGCUGUUGAUCAGAAAUUAGAGAAAAGCUACAAUUAAGGUAAGGACUAUUAUAAUUGAAUACUUAAUUAAUACCAUGCUGUUAAUCUGCAUUAUUUGGCACAUAUCACAAAAACAGUGCUCCAAUAUUGACAAAG